RNAcentral lists this ribosomal RNA (463 nucleotides) under uncultured bacterium. RNAcentral describes it as "bacterial SSU rRNA". It matches the Rfam family "Bacterial small subunit ribosomal RNA", at positions 33 to 507 of the family's 1533-position model. The record is from RNAcentral.
ACGCUGGCGGCGUGCUUAACACAUGCAAGUCGAACGGUGAACCAGGGCUUGCCCUGGGGAUCAGUGGCGAACGGGUGAGUAACACGUGGGCAACCUGCCCCUGACUCUGGGAUAACUCCUCGAAAGAGGUGCUAAUACCGGAUACGACCACUUCGGGCAUCCGAUGGUGGUGGAAAGAAUUUUGGUCAGGGAUGGGCCCGCGGCCUAUCAGCUUGUUGGUGGGGUAACGGGCCCACCCAAGGCGACGACGGGUAGCCGGCCUGAGAGGGCGACCGGCCACACUGGGACUGAGACACGGCCCAGACUCCUACGGGAGGCAGCAGUGGGAAAUAUUGCGCAAUGGGCGAAAGCCUGACGCAGCGACGCCGCGUGAGGGACGACGGCCUUCGGGUUGUAAACCUCUUUCAGCAGGGACGAAGCGAAAGUGACGGUACCUGCAGAAGAAGCACCGGCUAACUACGUG